Molecule: long non-coding RNA, 354 nt
Filed under: Ananas comosus (pineapple)
Lineage: Eukaryota; Viridiplantae; Streptophyta; Magnoliopsida; Poales; Bromeliaceae
Description: long non-coding RNA (ACOM_LNC033011)
Source: RNAcentral
UAUUAAAAUUUAGAUGAAACUUAAUUAAAAAAUUAAUAUAAAAUUUUAUUUAAAUUAUGAAUUAUUUUGGAUCGCGUAAUUUAUUUUUCAAUAUUCCAGGGCGUGUUUGGUUCAAAGUCGAGUCGGAAUCGGAAUCAGAAUCAAAAUAAGCUGGAAUCGAAAUCGGAAUGACUCAUUACCUAAUUCUGUUUGGUUCAUCACUUGAAUCGGAAUCGGAAUAAAUCAUUCCCAUUGUCGGUGUUUGGUUCAGGUGGAUAUAUAAAACGUAAUCAAAUUAAUAUACUAACAUUAUCUUUAUAAUAUAUUAAUUUAAAUUCAAAUUAAAAAUUAAAUAUUAAAAAUUUACAUCAAAAU